This is a long non-coding RNA of Canis lupus familiaris (dog), 761 nucleotides long. RefSeq lists it as uncharacterized. The record is from RefSeq and is a predicted model, not a curated record. Lineage: Eukaryota; Metazoa; Chordata; Mammalia; Carnivora; Canidae. The transcript is spliced from 2 exons.
GGGAGAAGCAGGCUCCAUGCAGGAAGCCCGACGUGGGACUCGAUCCUGGGUCUCCAGGACCAGGCCCUGGGCCGAAGGUGGCGCUAAACUGCUGGGCCCCCCCGGGCUGCCCUGCCCUAAGGUAUUAGAAGCAAAACUGGUGCCUCACACAGCCUAAUUCCCCUAACCCCCAAAGCAGGUCCGGGGAAUGACGCCCGGAAGGACCUAGGCCUAGAGCCUGUGUCCGCUGGAAGGUGGUCAUAAAACUGCCGGAAACGCAUCCUGGCAAAUCUGACGUUCAACGGGCUUCUCAUCCUCACUCACUGCCACCAUGACAUCCUUUCUUGCUCUCCCACUGCCACUGCGUCCACUGGUUGUCUUCUUGCAAAUGCCUGGCAUUCGCCUGGGUCUGGACACACCCUGUAUGAACGCAAAGACGAGUAUUUUUCUGGUCUUGCCCUCAAAGGUCUUACAGUCCCCCAGAGGGAGAAGACAGGAAUGAGGUCAGGCAGGCAGCACCUUAACAAGAUCCCGAGGUGACUCGCAGGCACUAAAAUCUGAGACACCUGUUGUGGAAUCUGAGCCUUGAACCAGUGGGCAGCCUGGGACACUCACCACCCGAGCCACACGGAACAUGUGUCCUGAAUUUCAAACAGCAGCAUUAGCUUUCUUUUGUUCCCCAUGUCUCUUGAUGGAAAGAAACCAUACAUUUAGAAUUUUAAAAAUUAACUCAGUUCAUAAAUAAAUAAAUAAAUAAAUAAAUAAAUAAAUAAAUAAAUAAA